Molecule: RNA transcript, 663 nt
Organism: Anthonomus grandis grandis
Lineage: Eukaryota; Metazoa; Arthropoda; Insecta; Coleoptera; Curculionidae
Exons: 2
Source: RefSeq, a predicted model, not a curated record
UACUAGUGCAUAAAAAGUGAAACUUUACACACCCUGCGAAGUGUGGGAAGUGAGGACUUUACGCACGGUAGUAGAAAAAAAAUUUUUUUUUUGAUAUUUCAUAAGAAUUAGAUCCAGAUCCAGACCGGAAGUUGAUCGAGUCGUAAAGUUUAUAAAUUAAUUAUUUUCUUCAGGGUUAAAAGAGUAUUAUCAAUAUACUAAAUUCUGGCAAAUAUUUUCUUUCUGGCCAUAACAGGAGAGCAGCUUAAGCGAGAUCUAAAAGAAGUUAUAUACGCUUGCUAUAAACAGAUAGGCGAACUGCAGAAGGUACCUGGAAAUACUGAAUUGAUAUCUGAACUACUGUUGCUAGCAAACCAAGCGCAUGAAAGAAACAAUAUCAUAUCUGGUUGUGGGUUGUUUCCUGUAGAUCAUUCGUUGAUUCAUUUUAUAGUCAGUACUGCUUGCACGUAUUUAACUGUCUUAGGUGGCAUAGUUGAUAAUUUUAAGCCACAUAAGUAUGAAUUAGAUGUCCAUAACCAUACUAAUGAUUCCGUAGUAUUAUCAAAUGUAACCGUUUAAGACACAAAAGAUGAAUGGACGUACAGAUGGCACUUUGUGAGUUUACCGCACGUUUUAAUAGCGGCUAUAAAUGUUGACUGUCUUCUCAAGUUUGUUAUUAAACUU